GGGGCUAUGGGGCUACUCAGCUGGGAGAGCGCCUGCUUUGCACGCAGGAGGUCUGCGGUUCGAUCCCGCAUAGCUCCACCA
RNAcentral lists this transfer RNA (81 nucleotides) under Escherichia coli. Its description in RNAcentral is "tRNA-Ala". It matches the Rfam family "tRNA". From Rfam's summary of the family: Transfer RNA (tRNA) molecules are approximately 80 nucleotides in length. Their secondary structure includes four short double-helical elements and three loops (D, anti-codon, and T loops). The record is from RNAcentral. Lineage: Bacteria; Pseudomonadati; Pseudomonadota; Gammaproteobacteria; Enterobacterales; Enterobacteriaceae.